CACUUUUUUGACUGAUGGAAAGUUUAACUAAUUCAGUAUGGUUCAAAAAGAAAACUGAAUACAUCAGUAACCAGCAACUAUAAAAGGGAGGGAAAAAAUUAAAAAAUAAACAGUCACGUGUUAGAAAAGGGUCCUCACACCCAAUCUGUGACUCACCAAUUCAGGACCUGAAAGUAAUUCCAGAUUCCAGCCAUUCAACUCUGGCCUCAGAAUGAACAAACAGGUUGAAACUUGAUUGUUUCCUAUAACUCAUAUGGGCAAAUGUUCACCGCUUCAGAAUGUUAAAAUGUGCUGCACUGCCA
This 302-nucleotide unclassified non-coding RNA is filed under the name Hevea brasiliensis (rubber tree). Lineage: Eukaryota; Viridiplantae; Streptophyta; Magnoliopsida; Malpighiales; Euphorbiaceae. The record is from RNAcentral.